GGACCUUUAGCUCAGUUGGUUAGAGCAAUCGGCUCAUAACCGAUCGGUCCCGGGUUCGAGUCCCUGAAGGUCCA
This 74-nucleotide transfer RNA is filed under the name Lachnospiraceae bacterium A10. It matches the Rfam family "tRNA". From Rfam's summary of the family: Transfer RNA (tRNA) molecules are approximately 80 nucleotides in length. Their secondary structure includes four short double-helical elements and three loops (D, anti-codon, and T loops). RNAcentral also lists the same sequence under 2 other names. The record is from Rfam by way of RNAcentral. Lineage: Bacteria; Bacillati; Bacillota; Clostridia; Lachnospirales; Lachnospiraceae.